RNAcentral lists this ribosomal RNA (253 nucleotides) under uncultured Eubacteriales bacterium. RNAcentral's name for it is "uncultured Clostridiales bacterium partial 16S ribosomal RNA". It matches the Rfam family "Bacterial small subunit ribosomal RNA", at positions 524 to 776 of the family's 1533-position model. The record is from RNAcentral. Lineage: Bacteria; Bacillati; Bacillota; Clostridia; Eubacteriales.
UACGUAGGUGGCGAGCGUUAUCCGGAAUGACUGGGCGUAAAGGGAGUGUAGGCGGCUCAUCAAGUUAGAUGUGAAAUCCCGCGGCUUAACCGCGGAACUGCAUCUAAAACUGGUAAGCUGGAGUGCAGGAGAGGUGAGUGGAAUUCCUAGUGUAGCGGUGGAAUGCGUAGAUAUUAGGAGGAACACCAGAGGCGAAGGCGGCUAACUGGACUGCAACUGACGCUGAGGCACGAAAGUGUGGGGAGCAAACAGG